Molecule: non-coding RNA, 117 nt
Organism: Pan troglodytes (chimpanzee)
Lineage: Eukaryota; Metazoa; Chordata; Mammalia; Primates; Hominidae
Rfam family: Metazoan signal recognition particle RNA
About the family: The signal recognition particle (SRP) is a universally conserved ribonucleoprotein. It is involved in the co-translational targeting of proteins to membranes.
Source: Rfam
GCUGGGCAUGGUGGCUCAUGCCUGUAAUCCCAGCAUUUUGGGAGGCUGAGGUGGGUGGAUCACCUGAGGUCAGGAGUUCAAGACCAGCCUGGCCAACAUGGUGAAACCCCAUCUCUA